AGGCGAGUAGCUCAACUGGCAGAGCAACGGUCUCCAAAACCGUAGGUUGCGGGUUCAAGUCCUGCCUCGCCUGC
Molecule: transfer RNA, 74 nt
Filed under: Anaerolineae bacterium
Lineage: Bacteria; Bacillati; Chloroflexota; Anaerolineae
Description: tRNA-Trp
Rfam family: tRNA
About the family: Transfer RNA (tRNA) molecules are approximately 80 nucleotides in length.
Source: RNAcentral